GGUGGCGGGAUUUCCACUGUCUCCUUUGGCUGCCACCGUGCUGAGAGCAUGAGAAACAUGACAGCCAAGGGCAAAGCCUGGGAAUCUGUGUCAGUGUUGAGAUACAAGCUCUUCCACAUAAUGGAAGUGUUUUCCACAGUCUGUCCUCAUUUUCAACCUGAAGCUAUGCUGUAGCACUAGGGAGAAAAAAACAACCAAUCACAUCUUCACCCCAUGUUGGAGCUCCUCUCUGCAGCCCUGCAUCUCCAGAUCUAAGACAAACUGACUAUUUCAG
RNAcentral lists this long non-coding RNA (274 nucleotides) under Gallus gallus (chicken). Its description in RNAcentral is "long non-coding RNA NONGGAT012050". The record is from RNAcentral. Lineage: Eukaryota; Metazoa; Chordata; Aves; Galliformes; Phasianidae.